AGCUGGGAUUUCAAAUGUAAUUUUAUGUCUAAAAUUUAAACGUGGACACUUAAAAUUUAAUUUUGAAACCAUAUGUCCACGAGGAGUCAAUUUCUUGGUUAACAAUUUUAUACAACAGAACUUGAGACUCAACGGCCGACAUAGGUUUUAUCAAAACAUCAAAAUAUUCCAAAGAAUAUACGGUCAAUUUUAUAAAUAUGACGCCCGUAAUGCGGACUACAAACAGUAGAGGCAUACUCUAGAAUAGAUCUAACAAAUGCAUUAUACAAGUGUGUGAGUGGAAGGAUGCUUGAACUCUUUGGAUAUCCUGAGCACAAAUCCCAACAUACGAUAUGCUUUGCUAGCUAUAUAAUCAACGUGCUCAUCAAAGAGUAAUUUGGAGUUGAUAGUAACUCCAAGAUCUUUUACCACAUCGACCCUCGAUAUCACUUCGCCGUUCAGUUUAUAACAAUAGUUUAUACAAAAAUGCUUUCUACUGAAAGUUAUUACAUUACACUUUUUUAAAUUUAUAAAUAAAGAGUUUACUGAACAAUAAUUACUAACUCGAUGUAGGUCAUUCUGAAGGUCUAUACAGUCAUUAGUCUUUAAUUAUCUUGAAAAUUUUAUUGUCAUCCAUGUAUGGAAAUUGGAGCGAAAACUUAAGGAAGUAAAACUUAAACCGUCAAUCCAAAAACAAACAAUUCCCAAGUUUUACUACGGUUUAAGUUUAAAAAUCUUCUUUCAAUGUUUCCAAUAAAAUCCUGCCGCAUACUUUCCACCAAUGGCAUAAUAGUGGCUUUAAUAAGUCCUAUAGUGAUAGUAAUAUGCUGCCUGACUUGAUCUAUGGCUGCCUGUUAUCAACUUUUGUCCACUCAAUUCCCGUGUCACUUCCUGACACGGAUGUAAAAUGACACACAAUUCUUGGAUUAUACACCACUCGUAUCCUGAUAUGGCAUCUAUUCCAAUGUUGACCAUUGCACUGUUAAGUGGUUCUUUGAGUUCCACACAUCUUUGGAACAUAAUAAUAUAAUAAAUGGAAUUUCACCUCCUUUGAACCUCUUGAACUAGCCGUUUCAGUGUGGUACCUGCUUGUUCUUGGUACUUUUUCAAUUGUUCCCAAGCGACAUUGUUCUCUUUGAAGUGCCGUACUAUCCCUUUUAUUUUAGAAAGUAGCUCUGCCAUAUCGGGGUUUUUUCAAAAUGUCGUUGACCGCUAAAUUUAGGGUGUGACUGUUGCAAGGAAAAUGUUUCCAUCCAAGUUCCCUUUCGAUUACACUUUUAAUAUUUGCACCGUUGUCUGAUACGGCUAAGAGUAUUAUAUCCGCUACUUUCCACUCCUCGCAUAUUAUGCUUUUUGCUGUCAGCCAAAUUUUUUGCUGUAUAGAUGUUCAAAAAAGGCAUACAUUCUAGAAGAAAUGACUUCAGAGCAAAUUCUUCCUCCUCAAUAUAAUGUCCAGCCACAGCCAGCAUGGAAUCGUUUGCGCGGGAUGUCCACAUAUCAACAGUGAUACAAAGUGACUUCACUUCUGUACGGACACUUUCUUUUGACUGUGCCUUGACCUUCUCAUACACGGCCAGUAGCAUACUGUUUGAAAGAAAAAAUCUGGUGUAUAAUGAGGAAACGCGUAAUUCAUUAACUCGCGAAAACCGCGAUCCUCAACAAUUCUAAAUGGUUGGAAAUCCAUUAUAAUUAGAUUCACGAUUUUUUUAAAUCUAUUUGUCUUUAUAUUGAAAUUUUUUUUGUACAUAGUUUGUUAUUGGCUGGUGGCCAAGUCCUCCUUGAUGGUAGUGGCUGUG
RNAcentral lists this unclassified non-coding RNA (1775 nucleotides) under Melitaea cinxia (Glanville fritillary). RNAcentral describes it as "misc RNA ENSMCXG00005021007.1". Lineage: Eukaryota; Metazoa; Arthropoda; Insecta; Lepidoptera; Nymphalidae. The record is from RNAcentral.